Pseudopodoces humilis (Tibetan ground-tit) is the source of this 1214-nucleotide long non-coding RNA. RefSeq lists it as uncharacterized. NCBI's taxonomy places the organism in Eukaryota, Metazoa, Chordata, Aves, Passeriformes, Paridae. The record is from RefSeq and is a predicted model, not a curated record.
CGCGGGAAGCACGCAGCGAUGUGAGGGACAGGGCACCGCGCUCCCGGCGCUGCUGAGCCCUGUGUUAGCGCCUGCUCUGUUCCGAGGCAGCACCGACACCCUGCGUACCGGGUUGGAAUGUCCUUUACAGCAUGGACCAUCCCGCCCCGCUGCUUUAUGAAACGGGAGGCUGGAACUGGCAGGAGUGACAGCAGGCAGCCCCCUCCUGGCACAGCUUCCGUCAUCUCCCGUGCGUGUGACAGCACCGGCCUCUCCGUCACUCCCUGGGCUGGAGAAAGCCAAAAGCUUGGCCGUCCUGCGUCUUCAAAUUACAAACAUACCCAGUUCAGACUCAGAAUGAGCUGCAGGAACCCUCCAGGUCUGGCUGCUAGAGAUAAAGCAAAUGGAUAAAUCUACUGUGACGGGUGGUGUUAGCAAAGAUCUUGUCAGGUUCAAGAGUGGAUAAGGACAUCCUAGACUGGCAUGCUGAUUGAGUCACACCUUCAGAGCUUCCAGUCUCUCUGCAGGUGGAAUGCCUCCUGUCCCUCAAGUGGCUCAGCAGAUUAGUCAGGAGGAAAACCAGCAGCAAAAUGGACCAAAUUUGUCAAGUUGGCUUAAUUCCUUACCUGCUGCAUAUGACAGGAACCCAGUUCUGCCCCAGCAGGUACAACCAGCAGGCUGGGAUAGGAACAAUGUGCUUGUGGUCCCAGCUCCAGUUCCCUCACAACAACAGUACACAGACUGGCCUCUCUUUGAUUUGAUUGGGAUGGAAAGCCAUAUUAGUUGCUACAAAGCACAAAUGCUGUUAAAACUGAAGGUAACUGGAAAGUUUAUUGAAGACAUCUCCUGCUCCCUUUCAUCAGCCAGACUUAAGCCAGUGAAGCUCAAACCAAAAAGAAGCUUUAUCUGGUCACAGUAGAUUCAGAAAAUAAUUUUGAAUUUAAAGGGUAUCCAAAGAGAAAAAAGACAAGUAAAAGAACACCUGGAUAAAAUAUACUUCUGGAAUGAGUGUCAUUAUUCCAGAAUCCUCCUGUAUGGCAGAGACCUGUUGGAAACUUGUUCUUGGAUCAGUGAAAGAAAAAUCUCUCAGCAUUGUUCUGCCAGGAUUAACAAGUGGUGCUGGGCAGGCUUUGCAAAUUGCCUUCCAUAUUCCAGCACUUCAGAGGCUCUAAGGAUCCAUUGCAGGAAAUCAUUCUGACACUGAAACAGCAACAGAUUGCCCUGAAGGAUGUUAU